Molecule: ribosomal RNA, 754 nt
Filed under: uncultured cyanobacterium
Lineage: Bacteria; Bacillati; Cyanobacteriota
Description: bacterial SSU rRNA
Rfam family: Bacterial small subunit ribosomal RNA
Source: RNAcentral
AUGCAAGUCGUACGGAAAAGAAAUUUUUAGUGGCGAACGGGUGAGUAACGCGUGAGUAUUUACCUUUAGGAAGAGGAUAACAACUAGAAAUAGAUGCUAAAACUUUAUAUGCCGUUUCGGUGAAAAAAGCAAUUUGCCUAAAGAGAAGCUCGCGUCUGAUUAGCUAGUUGGUGGGGUAAAGGCCUACCAAGGCGACGAUCAGUAGCUGGUCUGAGAGGACGAUCAGCCACACUGGAACUGAGACACGGUCCAGACUCCUACGGGAGGCAGCAGUGAGGAAUUUUCUGCAAUGGGCGAAAGCCUGACAGAGCAAUACCGCGUGAGGGAUGAAGGCCUACGGGUUGUAAACCUCUUUUUUCAAGGAGGAAGAUCUGACGUUACUUGAAGAAUAAGCAUCGGCUAACCCUGUGCCAGCAGCCGCGGUAAUACAGGGGAUGCAAGUGUUAUCCGGAAUCAUUGGGCGUAAAGCGUCUGCAGGUUGAUCUCUAAGUCUUUUGUUAAAUCUUUGGGCUUAACCUGAAAUCUGCAAAGGAAACUAUAGAUCUUGAGUAUAGUAGAGGGAAAGGGAAUUUUCAGUGGAGCGGUGAAAUGCGUAGAUAUUGGAAAGAACACCAACAGCGAAGGCACUUUCCUGGGCUAUUACUGACACUCAGAGACGAAAGCUAGGGGAGCAAACAGGAUUAGAUACCCUGGUAGUCCUAGCUGUAAACGAUGGAUACUAGAUGUUGCGGCAGUUUUACUUCCGCAGUGUCGU